This is a long non-coding RNA of Rhopalosiphum padi (bird cherry-oat aphid), 403 nucleotides long. RefSeq lists it as uncharacterized. The transcript is spliced from 3 exons. The record is from RefSeq and is a predicted model, not a curated record. Lineage: Eukaryota; Metazoa; Arthropoda; Insecta; Hemiptera; Aphididae.
CAUAAAACAGUAAUGCACAUUUACUUAACCAUCAUCAUCAUCAUCAUAUAUUUUACACCUCUCGACCUCUGCUUUACACGGUCUUAAUAUUAUAUAGACAGAUGUAUAACCAAUACCUGUAUUAUGGCAGCGCCGAACGUCUGAUAUCAAUAAAAAUCAACACUCAAAUCGCACGCGAGUGGGUGGUGAAAAACUGAAAACAUGCCAGAAGCCUAAACAUUCAAAAUAAUAUCAAUUUACUUCAAAUGUAUAUUUGACACCAAAUUGUGUUGAAUGUGUCACUGAAUGACCUAAGCAAACCUCAAAUUGUGUCAGAAAGCAAUCAACGAAUUAAAAGGACCCCUGGAGCUUGUGAGACUUAUACUUGAUAUAUAUUUACCAUAUUUAUUAAAAUUGAGCACCU